GACGAACGCUGGCGGCGUGCUUAACACAUGCAAGUCGAACGGAAAGGCCCUGCUUUUGUGGGGUGCUCGAUUGACGAACGGGUGAGUAACACGUGAGUAACCUGCCCUUGACUUUGGGAUAACUUCAGGAAACUGGGGCUAAUACCGGAUAGGAGCUCCUGCUGCAUGGUGGGGGUUGGAAAGUUUCGGCGGUUGGGGAUGGAAUCGCGGCUUAUCAGCUUGUUUGUGGGGUAGUGGCGUACCAAGGCUUUGACGGGUAGGCGGCAUGAGAGGGUGACCGGCCACAUUGGGACUGAGAUACGGCCCAGAAGCCUACGGGAGGCAGCAGUGGGGAAUAUGGCACAAUGGGCGGAAGCCUGAUGCAGAAACGCUGCGUGCGGGAUGACGGCCUUCGGGUUGUAAACCGCUUUCGACUGUGACGAAGCGUGAGUGACGGUAAUGGGUAAAGAAGCACCGGCUAACUACGUG
Molecule: ribosomal RNA, 468 nt
Filed under: uncultured bacterium
Lineage: Bacteria
Description: partial 16S ribosomal RNA
Rfam family: Bacterial small subunit ribosomal RNA
Source: RNAcentral